Molecule: ribosomal RNA, 437 nt
Filed under: uncultured bacterium
Lineage: Bacteria
Description: bacterial SSU rRNA
Rfam family: Bacterial small subunit ribosomal RNA
Source: RNAcentral
CGCUGGCGGAGGCCUAACACAUGCAAGUCGAACGCUCGUAGCAAUACGAGAGUGGCAGACGGGUGAGUAACACGUGGGAACCUUCCCUAUGGUUCGGAAUAGCCCAGGGAAACUUGGGGUAAUACCGGAUAAGCCCUCACGGGGAAAGAUUUAUCGCCAUUGGAUGGGCCCGCGUCGGAUUAGCUAGUUGGUGGGGUAAUGGCUCACCAAGGCGACGAUCCGUAGCUGGUCUGAGAGGAUGAUCAGCCACACUGGGACUGAGACACGGCCCAGACUCCUACGGGAGGCAGCAGUGGGGAAUAUUGGACAAUGGGCGCAAGCCUGAUCCAGCCAUGCCGCGUGAGUGACGAAGGCCUUAGGGUUGUAAAGCCCUUUUGGCGGGGAAGAUAAUGACGGUACCCGCAGAAUAAGCUCCGGCUAACUUCGUGCCAGCAGCC